This is a long non-coding RNA of Cryptotermes secundus, 1453 nucleotides long. RefSeq lists it as uncharacterized. The record is from RefSeq and is a predicted model, not a curated record. The transcript has 3 exons. Lineage: Eukaryota; Metazoa; Arthropoda; Insecta; Blattodea; Kalotermitidae.
UAAUUUUGCUCAUAAUUCGAAGGUUUGUACAGCUGCCAUUUUCUGACUCGUUAAAAUUUAUUUCAGAUUGCGGUUUAACAAUAAUAAGUUAGUAUGCCAUUUUGUUUUUUUGGACAGGAGAGAAUAGGUUAAUGUGCCAAAUGUUUAUAUGGGCACAGCAGUCCAGAACAAAUGACGCCGUGUAAACUCUCUUUCUGUUUAAAAUCAACUUGGAUGCUAGUAGAAUGACUGAAAAAAAAAUCUUAUUUUUUUAAUUAAAUACUUGUAUAUAGACUCUUUGUACUUAAAUUACAGUGACAUAUUGCGUAAAACUGAUAAGGUUGGCAGUCAUGACAGGGAAUUUGUAAGGAAAUUCUGUAACAAACUGUUUUCUUUGCAAUUGUAUGCUCCACUUCUUUAACAAAGAGUAAAACCAAAGAGUAAAAAAGAGUAACCUGUAAACGAGAGUCUUCUCUAUCUUUAUCAGUUUUUUGAUCAAGAACCAUACCAAGUGACGCCUAAAAGAUUGGUUAGGAAUUAAUUUUCUCAGUUGAGCUUAGGUUUUGAAUAGAACUCUCCAGAUAAUUGAAUGUUACUGUCUGAAAGACAUGGCCCAUUCCACGGAGAAGUGUCUCCAUUUGUCUGUCUCUAAUGGAGAGGACGGUGGCUGUACGUCAUUACUGUCAACAUUAAGCAGUUCCCCUUCCCUCUUCACCCCUACAUCCCUCGGAUUACCACUCACCAACGUGAGUUCUAGUGAAGAAGAGGACGCAGUAGAAUUCAGGCAAAUUCUCGGGUUCCGCGGCCAUGUCUACGAAUGUUCAGAGCGUGUUCUUAUUUUCAUGUGUAAAUAAAAUGUUCUGAAUCAGACGAAAUUUUGAAAAUGACAUGAAUACUACGCAAUAUGCCUACGCGUCACUGAAUGUAUGUUGUGUUUUGUAACUUACAAAUAUUUAUAAGGUUCAUGAAGUGAAUUUAAACUGAAAGCAGAUUCCCACGUUACGUAGGACUUCAAGACAGACUAACUCUAUUAACUCCUUGACAUCAUACACAUUGAUACGGUAAUGGCGAAAACACCACAUAAAGAUACUGGACUCGUGCAUCCAGAGAUCGGGCUCUAUUAAUUGGACCAUACUGAGAAGGCUUUUCAACUGAGGACAGAGACGUAGUCUAGUCUUAGAAACUUCUAUCUCAAAAAUGAGAACGAUGGAUAUUGUCCAGAAACUGUAUCAUUGUAUUACUAUAACGUAGUUACGAUUUUUUUAGAUUUUACUUAAGUAUGUGAUUUUCUGCAGCUACUGAGUUCUUAGGCGAAAGAUAGCGAAUUUUAUUAUAAGACUGAAAUUUUAAUAUCCCUUUGCUUCUUGGAUCGUCGGAUUAUUUACAGAUCGAGGGACAAGGCUUCACACACGGAAUACGUCAGUACUUUUGGUAACUAUAAGCAAUUAAUUUCUGGAAGAAGAAUGAAACGUGU